Non-coding RNA from Galeopterus variegatus (Sunda flying lemur), 402 nucleotides. The record is from the annotation of a RefSeq genome assembly. NCBI's taxonomy places the organism in Eukaryota, Metazoa, Chordata, Mammalia, Dermoptera, Cynocephalidae.
AUGGGCCCCAGGCUCCUCUGCUGUGUGGCCGUCUGUCUGCUGGGGGCAGAUCUCACAGGUGCUGGAGUCCUCCAGUCCCCCAGGCACAGGGUCACAGAGAGGGGACAGAAUGUGGCUCUCAGGUGUGAUCCAAUUUCUGGUCACACCGCCCUUUAUUGGUACCGACAGAACCCGACACAAGGCCCAGAGUUUUUGAUUUACUUCCUACGUGAGAAAGAAACAGACAAAUCAGGGGCACUUAGUGACCGCUUCUCUGCUGAGAGGCCCAAGGGCUCGUUCUCCACUCUGAGGAUCCAGCCCGCAGAGCAGGGGGACUCGGCUGUGUAUCUCUGUGCCAGCAGCUCAGCCAUAGUGUGGCACAGUCCCCUGCUCCCUGCCCACAAACCUCUUCCUUCUCUCUAG